Molecule: small RNA, 2096 nt
Filed under: Pan troglodytes (chimpanzee)
Lineage: Eukaryota; Metazoa; Chordata; Mammalia; Primates; Hominidae
Description: retained intron
Source: RNAcentral
AUUCAUUCUACUAAACCCAUUUUUGUUUUUUCUCUGACUCCCAAGGUUUGCAGCCAUGGGCAAGAGAAAUUGGCCUGGCUUUGACCAUGAGCCAUUCCCUUGGUUUGGGCAGGGCAGACACUCUGAUUGACAAUCCUACCAGCACUGCACACAACAGCAGAGAAGUAAUUCCCCAAAGGGAGGAAAGAGAAAGGAAUGUUGAGAAGACAUCAGACUAGAAAGAAGCAAUGUGAUCACAUCUUACUAGAAAAAUGCCUCUGGUGGCAGUGGGAGGAUGAAAUAGAAGAGAUCUGGGUUGAACAUACAUGACUGAUUUGUGUCAGGUUCUGAAAGAGAACUAUGGAAUGUGUAAAUGAUGUCAUCAUACAGACGAGCUUAGAGCUCUUCAGUGGAAAGGCUGUAUCGAUGUCAUUUGUUUAGCAAGUAAUCAUCAAAUGUCUGCCAUGUGCCGGCAGCUAUGAAGGCAGUAAACAGUCAAGGUCUCUGCCCUUCAGGACCUUAACAUUUUGUUGGGGGAGAGAGAUAGUAAAUAAAUAUGUAGUGUGUUGGAUGGUGAUGAAUUCUUGAAAAAUAAAGGAGUAAGGGUGAUAUCCACAGUGGAGGGCAGGGUGUUGUUUUCUGUGGGGUGGUCUGGGAGACCUCUGCUUAGAUGACAUUAUCUAAAAGAAUAGAAAUUUGUUUGUUUUUAUCUUUUAAAAUCUCAAAGAAGGGAGUGCAUGUUCAGGGCAACUUGAAUCUAUGCUCUUGGGUUACCCCCUCCCCCAAAAAAAAACACCUCAAAGAAAUACAAGCUGUGAUAGAUAACAAUGUUAAGAAAAAAAUGUUUUUAUAGCCUAGGAUGUGGCAUUGGAUAUGGUUAUUUGCAUCGAAUACCUACACGCCCAUUUGAGGAAGGAAAGAAAAUUUCUCUUCCAGGACAAAUGGCUGGUACACCUAUUACACCUCUUAAAGAUGGGUUUACAGAGGUCCAGCUGUCCUCAGUUAAUCCCCCGUCUUUGUCACCACCAGGAACUACAGGAAUUGAACAGAGUCUGGCUGGACUUUCUAUUAGCUCAACUCCACCAGCUGUCAGUAGUGUUCUCAGUACAGGUGUACCAACAGUACCGUUAUUGCCACCACAAGUAAACCAGUCCCUCACUUCUGUGCCACCAAUGAAUCCAGCUACUACAUUACCAGGUCUGAUGCCUUUACCAGCGGGACUGCCCAACCUCCCCAACCUCAACCUCAACCUCCCAGCACCACACAUCAUGCCAGGGGUUGGCUUACCAGAACUUGUAAACCCAGGUCUGCCACCUCUUCCUUCCAUGCCUCCCCGAAACUUACCUGGCAUUGCACCUCUCCCCCUGCCAUCCGAGUUCCUCCCGUCAUUCCCGUUGGUUCCAGAGAGCUCUUCUGCAGCAAGCUCAGGAGAGCUGCUAUCUUCCCUCCCGCCCACCAGCAACGCACCCUCCGACCCUGCCACAACUACUGCAAAGGCAGACGCUGCCUCCUCACUCACUGUGGAUGUGACGCCCCCCACUGCCAAGGCCCCCACCACCGUUGAGGACAGAGUUGCCGACUCCACUCCAGUCAGCGAGAAGCCUGUUUCUGCGGCUGUGGAUGCCAAUGCUUCUGAGUCACCUUAACUUUGAACCAUUCUUUGGAAUUGGCGUGGUAUAUUUAACCACGGGAGCGUGUCUGGAAACGCAAACUAUCAUUAAUUUCAUACUAGUUUGUACCGUAUCUGUAGGCAUCCUGUAAAUAAUUCCAAGGGGAAAACUAAACGAGGACGUGGGUUGUAUCCUGCCAGGUUGAGUGGGGCUCACACGCUAGGGUGAGAUGUCAGAAAGCGCUUGUAUUUUAAACAACCAAAAAGAAUUGUAAGGGUGGCUUGCUGCCAGGCUUGCACUGCCGUUCCUGGGGGUGUGCAUCUUCGGGAAAGGUGGUGGCGGGGCGUCCACUAGGUUUCCUGUCCCCUGCUGCUCCUUCCGUAAGAAAAUGAAAUAUUCUAUGCCUAAUACUCACACGCAACAUUUCUUGUACUUUGUAAGUCGUUUGCGAGAAUGCAGACCACCUCACUAAACUGUAAACGGUAAAGAGAUUUUUACUUUUGGUCU